AACGCGAAGAACCUUACCAAGCCUUGACAUCCCAAUGACCGGCGAGUAAAGUUGCCUUUCCUACGGGACAUUGGAGACAGGUGGUGCAUGGUUGUCGUCAGCUCGUGUCGUGAGAUGUUGGGUUAAGUCCCGCAACGAGCGCAACCCUUAUCUUUAGUAGCCAGCGGUUAGGCCGGGCACUCUAGAGAGACUGCCAGGGACAACCUGGAGGAAGGCGGGGAUGACGUCAAAUCAUCAUGCCCCUUAUGGCUUGGGCUACACACGUGCUACAAUGGCGGCAACAAAGUGAAGCAACCCAGCGAUGGUGAGCGAACCACAAAAAAACCGUCCCAGUUCGGAUUGUAGUCUGCAACCCGACUACAUGAAGCCGGAAUCGCUAGUAAUCGCGAAUCAGAAUGUCGCGGUGAAUACGUUCCCGGGUCUUGUACACACCG
RNAcentral lists this ribosomal RNA (434 nucleotides) under uncultured bacterium. RNAcentral describes it as "bacterial SSU rRNA". It matches the Rfam family "Bacterial small subunit ribosomal RNA", at positions 958 to 1392 of the family's 1533-position model. The record is from RNAcentral.